Molecule: ribosomal RNA, 459 nt
Filed under: uncultured bacterium
Lineage: Bacteria
Description: partial 16S ribosomal RNA
Rfam family: Bacterial small subunit ribosomal RNA
Source: RNAcentral
CCUACGGGAGGCAGCAGUGAGGAAUAUUGGUCAAUGGCCGAGAGGCUGAACCAGCCAAGUCGCGUGAGGGAUGACUGUCCUAUGGAUUGUAAACCUCUUUUGUCAGGGAGCAAAGUAACCCACGUGUGGGUGUAGGAGAGUAACUGAAGAAAAAGGAACGGCUAAAUCCGUGCCAGCAGCCGCGGUAAAACGGAGGAUGCGAGCGUUAUCCGGAUUUAUUGGGGUUAAAGGGUGCGUAGGCGGGUUAUCAAGUCAGCGGUAAAAACGUGGAGCUCAACUCCAUCCAGCCGUUGAAACUGAUGUUCUUGAGUGGGCGAGAAGUAUGCGGAAUGCGUGGUGUAGCGGUGAAAUGCAUAGAUAUCACGCAGAACUCCGAUUGCGAAGGAAGCAUACCGGCGCCCGACUGACGCUGAAGCACGAAAGCGUGGGUAUCGAACAGGAUUAGAUACCCCAGUAGUC